AUAUUGUACAAUGGGGGCAACCCUGAUCCAGCAAUGCAAUGUGUGUGUAGAAGGCCCUAGGGUUGUAAAUCACUUUAGUUGGGGUGGAAAGCCUCAAGGUUAAUAGCCUUGGGGGAGGACGUUUCCCAAAGAAUAAGCACCGGCUAUCUCCGUGCCAGCAGCCGCGGUAAUACGGGUGGUGCAAUCGUUAAUCGGAAUUACUGGGCGUAAAGGGUCUGUAGGUGGUUUGU
Molecule: ribosomal RNA, 230 nt
Filed under: Francisella tularensis subsp. holarctica
Lineage: Bacteria; Pseudomonadati; Pseudomonadota; Gammaproteobacteria; Thiotrichales; Francisellaceae
Description: partial 16S ribosomal RNA
Rfam family: Bacterial small subunit ribosomal RNA
Source: RNAcentral